Molecule: ribosomal RNA, 467 nt
Filed under: Irpex sp. DCHALI
Lineage: Eukaryota; Fungi; Basidiomycota; Agaricomycetes; Polyporales; Irpicaceae
Description: eukaryotic LSU rRNA
Rfam family: 5.8S ribosomal RNA (bases 87-240)
Source: RNAcentral
UCGGUUGAACAAGCCGUUUUUCUUUUAUGUUUUACUACAAACGCUUCAGUUAUAGAAUGUCAACUGUGUAUAACACAUUUAUAUACAACUUUCAGCAACGGAUCUCUUGGCUCUCGCAUCGAUGAAGAACGCAGCGAAAUGCGAUAAGUAAUGUGAAUUGCAGAAUUCAGUGAAUCAUCGAAUCUUUGAACGCACCUUGCACUCCUUGGUAUUCCGAGGAGUAUGCCUGUUUGAGUCUCAUGGUAUUCUCAACCCCUAAAUUUUUGUAAUGAAGGUUUAGCGGGCUUGGACUUGGAGGUUGUGUCGGCCCUUGUCGGUCGACUCCUCUGAAAUGCAUUAGCGUGAAUCUUACGAAUCGCCUUCAGUGUGAUAAUUAUCUGCGCUGUGGUGUUGAAGUAUUUAUGGUGUUCAUGCUUCGAACCGUCUCCUUGCCCGAGACAAUCAUUUGACAAUCUGAGCUCAAAUCA